UGGGCCAGAGCGGCGCGGCUCAGUAGCGCCGUCGCCGGCGGUCGAGCACUGCCCAUCCACGACUUCCCUCCGUGCCUCCUCGCGGCACCGGAGCGAGUCAGCUCCUGAGCGCGGCUGGGCCAGAGUGGCGCGGCUGAGCAGGGCCGGACGACGGCGCAGCGAGCGGAGCACGGCGGACCGGUGCAGUGAGCGUCAGGGCUGGGCGGCGGGGCGAACAGAGCACUACAGUGGAGACGAAGGACCCGAUUGAUUUUUACUUUUACUUUUUAGGGUCCUUUGUGUUAAUUUUCAGGACUAUUCUGUAACAUUAGUUUUUUCAGAUCAUGUUUGCAUUUUGUACUGGACUAACAUUGAAUGAAAGGCAAUAAACACGGCUGGGCCUUUCCCUGUUAAAAAAGAAGAGAAAAUGUAGGCAGUGCACUGCAUGCGUUGGCCGCAUCCCUGGGAUGUUGUGUUUUUUUUAAAAAAAAUUGACCCCUUUCUUUGCCAUAUGUGAUAUAUGAGGCUGGCGGCAAAUGUGCGAAUAGCUGACGGCAAAGAUGUAGUCUGGCUGACGGCAAAAGUACUUUUCUUUGCCAUAUGUGGUUUAUCAGGCUGACAGCGAAGCAGAUUUGGCUGACAGCAAAGUCUUUGCCGUAUGUCCGAUGAAAAGCUGACGGCAAAGUAUUCUUUGCUGACUUAUCUUUGCCGUCUGAGUUUGCCGUCUGCUUCGUGACGGCAAAGUCUUUGUCAUCUGGAUUUAGGUCUUUGCCGUCUGUAAUCCACAGACGGCAAAUUACUUGUUUCCUGUAGUGUAUAAGGAAUGAUUAAAAGAAAUCCUUACAAUAAAUCUAGACAAUCACACCUAACUCCUACAAUUAUGGAAUGAUUAGGAGUGACUCCUAGGCAUGUCAUGACCAUAUAAAAAUAUCAAAUCAACACAAAAGUUCACCGAUCGACUACUAAACAUGAUAACAAAUCACAAGGACUAAUAUGAAACAAAAGCAUAACACACUACUGCGAUUAGGCAUGAAAUAUGUACAUGAAACCAUACAAAACUAUAUUAAAAUCUAUAGACAUGUCUAACACAAGACAAUAACAAUAGGAAAAAAUAUUAUCAACUUGUGACAACAAAAGCUAUAAUCGAUAAACAAAUAAAUCUAACAAAUCAUUUGUCACACUCAAAAAUUAUGAGGCCAAUAGGAUACACACCUAGGCAUAUCGCGAACAUAUGAACAAUAACAUAUUAAUACAAAAAUUAACUGAUGAACAAAUCCCAUUCAAUCUUGGGCAAGAACAACUAUAACAAAAAUUUAUACUAAACUCUUAUUGAUGAAACUAGCGAUCUACCUCCACCAUGGGUUACUAUGGGCCUGAGAAACAAAUCAUAUGUUGAACACAAGAUCAUCAGAGAAACUAAAAGGUACGCAGACAUGUUGAUGGAAUCCGUUCAUGCAUCAGCGCAAGCAACGACAUAGAUGAGUCGAAUGAUGAUGUCUACGAGAUAGAGUAGAUGAUGAUGAUGUAACGCCCUCGAUGCGGCUAUAUCUCCUACGUGUCGAAGCACGACUUAGAGGCAUAACCGCAUUGAAAGCAAUGUCGCAAGUAAGGUAAUCUUCACAACAUCCCAUGUAAUACAUAAUAAGGGGAAAGGAACAUAGUUGGCUUACACUCGCCACAUCACACAAAGUAUAUAAAUAGCAUUACAUCAUCCAAUACACUCAUGGUCCGACUACUGUACCAAAAUAAAAGAUCAACCCAACAUGCGACACGGUCCCGAUCGCCCCAACUGGUCACCACUACUGAUCAUCAGGGAAAGACACAUAGUAACAGCGUGAGUCUUCAUCGAACUCCCACUUGAGCUCAAGCGCAUCAUCUGGAACGGAGUCAUCGGGCCCUGCAUCUGGUUUGGAAGUAAUCUGUGAGCCACGGGGACUCAGCAAUCUCGCACCCUCGCGAUCAAGACUAUUUAAGCUUAUAGGUAAAGGCAAGGUAAUAUGUGGAGCUGCAGCAAGCGACUAGCAUAUGUGGUGGCUAACCUAUUCGCAAAUGAGAGCGAGAAGAGAAGGCAAUGCACGAACGAAUAACUAGUGAACAACCUGCGCGAACAUUACUCCAACACCGUGUUCGCUUCCCGGACUCCGCCGAGAAGAGACCAUCAUGGUAACACACUCAGUUGAUUCAUUUUAAUUAAGUUAAGGUUCAAGUUAUCUACAACCGGAUAUUAACAAAUUCCCAUCUGCCCAUAACCGCGGGCACGGCUUUCGAAAGUUCAAAUCCCUGCAGGGGAGUCCCAACUUAGCCCAUGAAAAGCUCUCAUGGUCAACGAAGGAUAUACCUUCUAGCGGGAAGACCCGAUCAGACUCGGAAUCCCGGUUACAAGACAUUUCGACAAGUUAAAACAAACCCAGCAACACCGCCCGAGUGUGCCGACAAAUCCCGAUAGGAGCUGCACAUAUCUCGUUCUCAGGGCACACUCAGAUGAGACUAGCUACGAGUAAAACCAAAUCUCAAGUUGCCCCGUGGUGGCCCCGUAGGCAGCUCAGUCGGACCAACACUCAGAGGAGCACUGGCCCAGGGGGGGUUUAAAUAAGGUGACCCUCGGGCUCCGGAAACCCAAGGGAAAAAGAGGCUAGGCGGCGAAUGGUAAAACCAAGGUUGGGCAUUGCUGGAAGAGUUUUAUUCAAGGCGAACUGUCAAGGGGUUCCCAUUAUUACCCAACCGCGUAAGGAACGCAAAAUCCGGGAACAUAACACCGAUAUGACGGAAACUAGGGCGGCAAGAGUGGAACAAAACGCUAGGCAAAAGGCCAAGCCUUCCACCCUUUACCAAGUGUAUAGAUGCAUUAAGAUAACAAGAUAAUAUAGUGAUAUCCCAACAAGUAAAUAAUGUUCCAACAAGGAACGGCCUCCAAUCUUCACCUGCAACUAGCAACACUAUAAGAGGGGCCGAGCAAAGCGGUAACAUAGCCAAUCAAGGGUUUGCUAGGACGAGGUGGGUUAGAGGUUUGACAUGGCAAUUUGGGAGGCAUGAUAGGCAAGUGGUAGGCAUCGUAGCAUAGGCAUAGCAAAAGAGCGAGCAUCUAGCAAAGCAAAGAUAGAAGUGAUUUCGAGGGUAUGAUCAUCUUGCCUGCAAAGUUGUCAGAGUUGACUGGAUCCUCGAAAGCAAACUCAACGAGCUCCUCGUUAGCAAACUCGUCUCCCGGCUCUACCCAAACAAGACAAACAAGCAAAAGGAAUGCAAUCAACCACGUGCAAAGCUCAAACAACAUGAUGCAAAUAUGGUAUGCUAUGCGGGAUGCGAUAUGGGAUGCAUAUGCAAGAUUUGACAAGGAAUGAUUGAAUCUGGCCUCAACUUGGAAAUCCAAGUGUGCCACUGGAAAGGUGAGGUGAUUUCGCUUGAAAACAAUAUAAAGAACACCAGAAUCGGAGACACGGUUUGGAAAUGGCAAGCAAAACAAAUAUGGCACCGGUCUGCGAUAAAUAGCAAGUAGCCAUCUAAAUGUAUCAAGAUAAAUAUGCUACAGCACUCAAACAAGACAACAAAAUACAUGGCAGGGAUCCACUCAUGAUGCUUAACAAAAUAUGAACGCUGAGAUGCGGACAAUUCAUCCAUUAACAGGUUCAAACAAGCAUGGCAAAAGUGCAAUUGGUAAACAGAUUUCAGACUUAGUGAAAUUAACACUAGUCUGGAAUUUCAGAUCAGGUAGCACACUUUGGAGCAUGAAAACUACAUGCUACAGGAACUUAAAAUGGAAAAGUAAAGCAUGGCAUGGAGCUACUCAAGGAUCUUAACAAAAGUCCCUUAGUGACCUUGAGCCAAAAGGGAUCAGAAAAUACAAUUGCAAGCAUGUGAACAUGGCAAAAACAUAAUUAGAUCUCAGACUUAGAGAAAAACUGGAGCAUGCAAAUCAGAUAUCAAGUAGGCAUGUUCACGAGCUCGAUGCACUCACUACAGAGCAAGGCAUGACAAUCUAAGCAUACCCCCAUCAAGAAUACACAUUGUAUAAGCUAGACAUGGCAAGAACAACAACAUAGAAUGCCCGUAUCAACAACAACAUCCUCGGCAAAAUUGCUAACAAGUAAACAAUCUGCCCAGAUUCACGAAAUGACAAAAGUAGAGCUCGAUUGACUCAAGCUAGGUUGCUCCAUAAUUGCAAACAAAGACAUGGAUGUUUAGAGCACCAUGAGAUUAACAAAACAUCCUUACUGGUCAUCCUCAAAAGAGGCACGGAUCACUAGGAAACAACAUGAACAUAUGGCAUAUUGAUAAGAACAGCUCAAGGACUUGGUGGAAAUGCUAAGUCCCUGAAAUCAACAUUAACGAAUGCACCACUUUGCAAGCUUGUGCUAGUCACCACACAUAUCACAAAAAUACAUGGAUAGCACCUAUGGAAAGAUGGAAAAGCAUAUAACAAAACACAUGUAGAGCAUAUCAUGCACACAAUAAUCAUGGCAAAAAUGACAAAUAGCUAUUUGGAACAGCAGAUCUGACAAUUAACUCAAAUAGCACUCUUCCAACAGCAUUUCGGGCAUCAAGGCAAGAUCGAAUGAAAAUGAUGCAAUGAGAUGAAAUGAUGUGCUCUCUCGGACGAACAUUUUGAUAUGCUACACGUCCAAAACGAAGCUACGGUUGCAGAGAUAUAGCAUGAUGAAAAACACAAAUUAUUAGGGCUACGGGAGGAAAGUCAACCAUCUCAGAUCUAGAUCUGAGAACACUGUUCACGCGCGGACUUCGAGGUUCGUCAGGGAGCUCGCUGGAGUUCUUCGUGGAGGUGGCCGAAGCUCGCCGGCUUGCCGGAGAGGGAGGAGGAAGCCGAGGCGGCGGUGCUCGGUUGCCGGAGCGUGGCGGCGUCGGCCGGCGGGAGCGGCGCGGCGGGGCGGAGGGACGAGCUGCCGGAGCUCGGGCACCGAACCUCGCCGGAGUUGGGCGGCGUGGCGAAGGUACGAGCUGCGGGGCGGCGGCACGAGGUAGGAGACGGGCGGCGGGGCGCGGGAUGCCUCCGGCCCGGGCGCGGCGAAGGAGAGGGCCGGCCUUGGGCCCGGCGGGCCUCAGCGGGAGUGGCGGCGAUGUGGGGCGUUGCUUCCACGCGGCGCGCCCCGGUUGGCCGGAGAUGGCGCGGCGGACGCUGUCCGGGCGGGCCGGACGUGUCCGGUGUGGCGAGGAGCGGGGAAAAAAUAGGGUUUCAGGGAAGAAGGAGACGUGAAUUUCGGAGGGGGCUAUUUAUAGGCAUAGAAGGAGCUAGGGGAGUCCAAAUGGGGUGCGGUUUUCGGCCACGCGAUCGUGAUCGAACUCUCUAGAUGAUGGAGAGGUUUUUGGUGGUUUUUGGGCCAAAAUGGAGGGGUGUUGGGCUGCAACACACACGAGGCCUUUUCGGUCCCUCGGUUAACCGUUGGAGCAUCAAACGAAGUCCAAAUGGUACGAAACUUGACAGGCGGUCUACCGGUAGUAAAACAAGGCCGCUUGGCAAGUCUCGGUCCAAUCCAGAAAUGUUUAAUCCCCACACACGAAAAGAAGGUAGAAAUGGCCACCGGAGGAGAUAGGAGCGCCGGAAUGCAAAACGGACAACGGGGAAAAUGCUCGGAUGCAUGAGACGAACACGUCUACAAAUGCAAUGCACAUGAUGACAUGAUAUGAGAUGCAUGACAACGGCAAAAACACACGGAGAUAAAAACUCGAACCCGAGAAAAUAAAAUAACUUAGCGCCGGAAACGACAUGAGUUGGAGUACAUAUUAGGUAAAUUACAUCCGGGGUGUUACAGAUGAGUACACAUGCAAAAGGAAUUUGCACCUCAUUUGGACUCUUCUAGCUCCCUCUACCUAUAAAUAUGUGAUCCCCUCCGAAAAUCCCGCAGUCCAAACCCUAGAUCAAACUCCCUCAUCGCCGCCGGACAUUUCUUCCCGCGUUGGACAUGUCCGCUCGCCGCCGGCCAGCUCACCGCAGCCAAUCAAGACUUGCCACGUCGCCCCGCCGCCGCCCUCGUCCACUCCUCGCGCGCCACCUGGCCUCCUGCCUCCUUCCCGCCGCCAUNNNNNNNNNNNNNNNNNNNNNNNNNNNNNNNNNNNNNNNNNNNNNNNNNNNNNNNNNNNNNNNNNNNNNNNNNNNNNNNNNNNNNNNNNNNNNNNNNNNNNNNNNNNNNNNNNNNNNNNNNNNNNNNNNNNNNNNNNNNNNNNNNNNNNNNNNNNNNNNNNNNNNNNNNNNNNNNNNNNNNNNNNNNNNNNNNNNNNNNNNNNNNNNNNNNNNNNNNNNNNNNNNNNNNNNNNNNNNNNNNNNNNNNNNNNNNNNNNNNNNNNNNNNNNNNNNNNNNNNNNNNNNNNNNNNNNNNNNNNNNNNNNNNNNNNNNNNNNNNNNNNNNNNNNNNNNNNNNNNNNNNNNNNNNNNNNNNNNNNNNNNNNNNNNNNNNNNNNNNNNNNNNNNNNNNNNNNNNNNNNNNNNNNNNNNNNNNNNNNNNNNNNNNNNNNNNNNNNNNNNNNNNNNNNNNNNNNNNNNNNNNNNNNNNNNNNNNNNNNNNAGCAACCCGCCGGACCCGGCCGCGCCGGUGUCUCCCUCGCCUGGCCGGGGCUCGCCGCCGUCCUCCGGCCACCACCGCCGCCUCGGUUUCGCCGCCGCCGUGCACCGCCUCGACUUCCGCGCGGCGCCACCGGAGCCGUCCCCGCCUCCCCGCUCCUCUCCGGCCAUCUCCUUCCACUCCGGCCGCCGUCCCCGUCGUCUCCGGCGAGAUCCGCCGUCCUCGUCACCCGCGUUAACCGGGACCAGAUCCACCACACCCUCCAUCCAAACGCCGCGUCCACAUCCCGGAUAUCCUCAUCCCGCAUUGACUUUCUCGGAUAGGUUAAAUUUCACUAGGUCCCCGAGUUUUCCAUGUUUCAAAUGCCCAUGUUCAUCGCAUCAUAACUUUGCAUCCGUAGAUCCAAUUUGCGCAUAUAGCAUAUCAAAAUGUUCGUCUCAGAGAGCAUAUCAUUUCAUCUCAUUGCAUCAUUUUCAUUUGAGUUCAUCUUGAUGCCCGAAAUACUGUCGGAAAAGUGCUACUUGAGAUAAUUGUCAGAUCUGCUACUCCAUUUAGAUAUUUGUCAUUUUUUGCCAUGAUUAUUGUGUGCAUGUUAUGCCCAUGAGCUCUACAUAUGUUUUGUUAUACACUUUGCCAUCUUUUCAGAGGUGCCAUCCAUGUAUUCUUGUGAUGUGUGUGGUGACUAGCACAAGCUUGCCAAGUGAGGCACUUGGUAAUGCUGAUUUCAGGGACUUAGCAUUUCCACUAAGUCCUUGAGCUGUUUAUCUCAUAUUGCCAUAUGUUCAUGUUGUUUCCUAGUGAUCCGUGCCUCUUUUGAGGAUGAUCAGUAUGGAUGUUUUGUUAAUUUUGUAGUGCUCUAUCCAUCCAUGUCUUUGUUUGCAAUUAUGGAGCACCCUAGCUUGAGUCAAUCGAGCUCUACUUUUGCUACUUCGUGAAUCUGGGCAGAUUGUCUACUUGUUAGCGAUUUUGCCGAAGAUGUUGUAGUUGAUCCGUGCAUGCUAUGUUAUUGUUCUUGCCAUGUCUAGCUUGCAUUUUGUGUAUUCUUGAUGGGUGUAUGCUUAGAUUGUCAUGCCUUACUCUGUAGUGAGUGCAUCGAGCUCGUAAACAUGCCUACUUGAUAUCUAUUUACAGCAUGCUCCAGUUUUCACUAAGUCUGUGAUCUGAUUAUGUUUUUGCCAUGUUCACAUGCUUGCAAUUGUAUUUUCUGAUCCCUUUUGGCUCAAGGUCACUAAGGGACUUUUGUUAAGCUCUUUGAGUAGCUCCAUGCCAUGCUUUACUUUGCCAUGUUCAGGUCUGGUAGCGUGUAGUUUGGUUGCUCCGAAGAGUGCUACCUGAUCUGAAAUUCCAGACAAGUGUUAAUUUCACUAAGUCUGAAAUCUGUUUACCAUAUGCAUUUUUGCCAUGCUUGUUUGAACCUGUUAAUGGAUGAUUUGGCUGUAGCUCAGUGCUAGACUUUUGUUAAGCAUCAUGAAUGGAUCCCUGCCAUGUAUUUUGAUGCCAUGUUUGGGUGUUGUAGCAUGUUCAUCUUGUUGCAUUUAGAUGGCUACUUGCUGUAAAUCGCGGAACGUGGUCAUAUUUGAAUUGAUCGCCAUUUCCAAACCGUAACUCCGAUUCCGGUGAUCUUUAUAUCGUUUUCAAGCGAUUUCAUCUCUCCUUUCCAGUGGCACACUUGGAUUUCCAAGUUGAGGCCAGGUUCUUUCAUUCCUUGUCAAAUCAUGCAUAUGCAUCGCAUACCGCAUCCCGCAUAUCAUACCAUGUUUAUGUGGUGGUUGUUUACUAUGUUGUGUGCUUCUUUCCGGUGUUUGCUUCUUCGGGUUGGUUCCGAUAACGUCGCGUUUGUGAGGACCCGUUCGACUACGUCCAUUUGUCUUAUUCAUGGACUCGUUCUUCUUCCUUGCGGGAUCUCAGGCAAGAUGAUCAUACCCUCGAAAUCACUUCUAUCUUUGCUUGCUUAGUUGCUCGCUCUUUUGCUAUGCCUAUGCUGCGAUACCUACCACUUGCUUAUCAGGCCACCCAUAUUGUUGAACCAAGCCUCUAACCCACCUUGUCCUAGCAAACCGUUGAUUGGCUAUGUUACCGCUUUGCUCGGCCCCUCUUAUAGCGUUGUUAGUUGCAGGUGAAGAUUGAAGUUUCGUUCCUUGUUGGAACAUGUUUACUUGUUGGGAUAUCACUAUAUAUCUUAUUUAAUUAAUGCAUCUAUAUACUUGGUAAAGGGUGGAAGGCUCGGCCUUAUGCCUAGUGUUUUGUUCCACUCUUGCCGCCCUAGUUUCCGUCAUAUCGGUGUUAUGUUCCCGGAUUUUGCAUUCCUUACGCGGUUGGGUAAUAAUAGGAACCCCUUGAUAGUUCGCCUUGAUUAAAGCUUUUCCAGCAAUGCCCAACAUUGGUUUUAACAUUUGCCGCCUAGCCUUUUCUUUUCCCUUGGGGGUCGCGCACCCAAGGGUCAUCAUUAUUUUACCCCCCCCCCGGGCCAGUGCUCCUCUGAGUGUUGGUCCAACCGAGCAAUGUCCGGGGCUACCAGGGGCAACUCUGGGCUGGCCUACCCGACGUCUUGCUCAUCCGGUGUGCCCUGAGAACGAGAUAUGUGCAGCUCCUAUCGGGAUUUUUCGGCACAUCUGGGUGGUGUUGCUGGAUUUGUUUUAACUUGUCGAAGUGUCUUGUUGUACCGGGAUACCGAGUCUGAUCGGAAUGUCUCGGGAGGAGGUCUAUUCCUUCGUUGACCGUGAGAGCUUGUCAUGGGCUAAGUUGGGACACCCCUGCAGGCAUUUGAACUUUCGAAAGCUGUGCCCGCGGUUAUGGGUAGAUGGGAAUUUGUUAAUGUCCGGUUGUAGAUAACUUGAACCUUAACUUAAUUAAAAUGAGCCAACUGCGUGUGUAACCGUGAUGGUCUCUUUCCGGCGGAGUCCGGGAAGCGAACACGGUGUUGGAGUUAUGCUUGACGUAGGUUGUUUUAGGAUCACUUCUUGAUCAUAGCUUUUCGACCGUGUUUUGCCUUCUCUUCUCGCUCUCAUUUGCGUAUGUUAGCCACCAUAUAUGCUAGUCGCUUGCUGCAGCUCCACCUCAUACCUUUUACCUUACCCUUAAGCUUAAAUAGUCUUGAUCGCGAGGGUGCGAGAUUGCUGAGUCCCCGUGGCUCACAGAUACUUCCAAAACCAGCUUGCAGGUGCCGGUGAUGCCAUUCCAGGUGACGCAACCAAGCUCAGGAGGAGCUCGAUGAAGAUCUUGUCCUUUAUGUUGUUUCGUUCUAGUUGAUCAGUAGUGGAGCCCAGUUGGGGUCGAUCGGGGACCUUUGUCGCUUUUGGGGUUCUUCUUUUAUUUUGGUUCCGUAGUCGGACCUUGUGUGUAACUGGAUGAUGUAAUGCUAUAUUCAUGUAUUGUGUGAAGUGGCGAUUGUAAGCCAACUAUGUAACUUCUUCCCCUAUUUUAUUACAUGGGUUGUGUGAAGAUUACCUCACUUGCGACAUUGCUUUCAAUGCGGUUAUGCCUCUAAGUCGUGCUUCGGCACGUGGGAGAUAUAGCCGCAUCGAGGGCGUUACACAUGACCUCCAGAACAGGAUUACCGUAUCAGUCUGGUGCGGAUCUUACUCUGGUUGACCUACGAGGUUCGGUAGUAACUUGAUCAGAAGUUUCAUGAUCAUCAUCAUUAGCUUCCUCACUUCUGGUAUAGGAAUCACUGGAACUGAUUUCAGUGAUGAACUACUUUCCAAUAAGGGAGAAGGUAGAAUUACCUCGUCAAGUUAUACUUUCCUCCCACUCACUUCUUUCGAGAGAAACUCAUUCUCUAGAAAGGAUCCAUUCUUAGCAACGAAUAUCUUGCCUUCGAUUCUGUGAUAGAAGGUGUACCCAACAGCAUCCUCUCGGUAUCCUAUGAAGACACAUUUCUCCGAUUUGGGUUCAAGCUUAUCAGGUUGAAGCUUUUUCCCAUAAGCAUCGCAGCCCCAAACUUUAAAAAAUGACAACUUGGGUUUCUUGCCGAACCAUAGUUCAUAAGGUGUCGUCUCAACGGAUUUUGAUGGUGCCCUAUUUAACAUGAAUGCAGUCGUCUCUAAAGCAUAACCCCAAAACGAUAGCGGUAAAAUCAGUGAGAGACAUUAUAGAUCGCACCAUAUCUAAUAAAGUGUGGCGUGAGUUGUGAAACUAUUCCACAUUGUUUCAAAUGAAGUCCAAACUCAUAACUCAAAUAUUCACCUCCAUGAUCAUAUCGUAGAAACUUGGUUUUCUUGUUACGAUGAUUUUCCACUUCACUAUGAAAUUCUUUGAACUUUUCAAAUGUUUCAGACUUAUGUUUCAUUAAGUAGAUAUACCCAUAUCUGCUGAAAUCAUCUGUGAAGGUAAGAAAACCAUAUUCGCCGUGAACCUCAAUGUUCAUUGGACCACAUACAUCAGUAUGUAUGAUUUUCAAUAACUAUGUUGCUCGCUCCAUUGUUCCGGAGAACGUAGUUUUAGUCAUCUUGCCCAUGAGGCAUGGUUCGCAAGUACCAAGUGAUUCAUAAUCAAGUGAUUCCAGAAGUCCAUCAGAAUGGAGUUUCUUCAUGCGCUUUACACCAAUAUGACCCAAACGGCAGUGCCACAAAUAAGUUGCAUUAUCGUUAUCAACUUUGCAUAUUUUGGCUUCAAUACUAUGAACAUGUGUAUCACUACUAUCAAGAUUUAGUAAAAAUAGACCACUCAUCAAGAGUGCAUGACCAUAAAAGAUAUUACUCAUAUAAAUAGAACAACCAUUAUUCUCUGAUUUAAAUGAAUAACUGUCUCGCAUCAAACAAGAUCCAGAUAUAAUGUUCAUGCUCAAUGCUAGCACCAAAUAACAAUUAUUUAGGUCUAAAACUAAUCCCGAAGGUAGAUGUAGAGGUAGCGUGCCGACGGCGAUCACAUUGAUUUUGGAACCAUUUCCCAUGCGCGUCGUCACCUCGUCCUUAGACAAUCUUCGCUUAAUCCGUAGCCCCUGUUUCGAGUUGCAAAUAUUAGCAAUAGAACCAAUAUCAAAUACCCAGGCGCUACUGCGAGCAUUAGUAAGGUACACAUCAAUAACAUGUAUAUCAAAUAUACCUUUCACUUUGCCAUCCUUCUUCUCCGCCAAAUACUUGGGGCAGUUCCACUUCCAGCAACCAGUCCAUUUGCAGUAGAAGCACUCAGUUUCAGGCUUAGGUCCAGACUUGGGUUUCUUCACUUGAGAAGCAACUAGCUUGUUGUUCUCCUUGAAGUUCCCCUUCUGCCCUUUACCCUUUUUCAUGAAACUAGUGGUCUUGUUGACCAUUAACACUUGAUGAUCCUUCUUGAUUUCUAUCUCCACGGCCUUUAGCAUUGCGAAGAGCUCGGGAAUAGUCUUAUCCAUCCUUUGCAUAUUAUAGUUCAUCACGAAGCUCUUGUAGCUUGGUGGCAGUGAUUGAAGAACUCUGUCAAUGACACUAUCAUCAUGAAGAUUAACUCCCAGCUGAGUCAAGUGGUUGUGGUACCCAGACAUUCUGAGUAUAUGUUCACUGACAGAACUAUUCUCCUCCAUUUUGUAGAUGUAGAACUUAUUGGAGACUUCAUAUCUCUCAAUCCGGGCAUUUGCUUGAAAUAUUAACUUCAACUCCUGGAACAUCUCAUAUGCUCCAUGACGUUCAAAACGUCAUUGAAGUCCCAGUUCUAAGCCGUAAAGCAUGGCACACUAAACUAUCGAGUAGUCAUCAGCUUUACUCUGCUAGGUGUUCAUAACAUCUGGUGUUGCUCCUGCAGCGGGUUUGUCACCUAGCGGUGCUUCUAGGACGUAAUUCUUCUGUGCAGCAAUGAGGAUAAUUGUCAAAUUACGGACCAGUCCGUGUAGUUGCUACCAUUAUCUUUCAACUUAGCUUUCUCUAGGAACGCAUUAAAAUUCAACAGAACAACAGCACGGGCCAUCUAUAUACAACAACAUAGAUAUGCAAAAUACUAUCAGGUACUAAGCUCAUGAUAAAUUAAAGUUCAAUUAAUCAAAUUACUUAAGAACUCCCACUUAGAUAGACAUCUCUCUAAUCAUCUAAGUGAUCACGUGAUCCAUAUAAACUAAACCAUGUUCGAUCAUCACGUGAGAUGGAGUAGUUUUCAAUGGUGAACAUCACUAUGUUGAUCAUAUCUACUAUAUGAUUCACGCUUGACCUUUUGGUCUCAGUGUUCUGAAGCCAUAUCUGCAUAUGCUAGGCUCGUCAAGUUUAACCCGAGUAUUCUGCGUGUGCAAAACUGGCUUGCACCCGUUGUAUGUGAACGUAGAGCUUAUCACACCCGAUCAUCACGUGGUGUCUCGGCACGACGAACUGUAGCAAUGGUGCAUACUCAGGGAGAACACUUGUACCUUGAAAUUUAGUGAGAGAUCAUCUUAUAAUGCUACCGCCGAACUAAGCAAAAUAAGAUGCAUAAAGGAUAAACAUCACAUGCAAUCAAUAUAAGUGAUAUGAUAUGGCCAUCAUCAUCUUGUGCCUUUGGUCUCCAUCUUCAAAGCACCGUCAUGAUCACCAUCAUUACUGGCUUGACACCUUGAUCUCCAUCGAAGCAUCAUUGUCGUCUCGCCAACUAUUUCUUCUACGACUAUUGCUACCACUUAGUGAUAAAGUAAAGAAAUUACAUGGCGAUUGCAUUUCAUACAAUAAAGCGACAGCCAUAUGGCUCCUGCCAGUUGCAAAUAACUCUGUUACAAAACAUGAUUAUCUCAUACAACAAUUUAUAUCUCAUCACGUCUUGACCAUAUAACAUCACAACAUGCCCUACAAAAACAAGUUAGACGUCCUCUACUUUGUUGUUGCAAGUUUUACCUGGCUGCUAUGGGCUUUAUUGUAUGAAAUGCAAUCGCCAUGUAAUUGCUUUACUUUAUCACUAAGCGGUAGCGAUAGUCGUAGAAGAAAUAGUUGGCGAGACGACAACGAUGCUUCGAUGGAGAUCAAGGUGUCAAGCCAGUAAUGAUGGUGAUCAUGACGGUGCUUUGAAGAUGGAGACCAAAGGCACAAGAUGAUGAUGGCCAUAUCAUAUCACAUAUUUUGUUUGCAUGUGAUGUUUAUCCUUUAUGCAUCUUAUUUUGCUUAGUACGGCGGUAGCAUUGUAAGAUGAUCUCUCACUAAAUUUCAAGGUAUAAGUGUUCUACCUGACUAUGCACCGUUGCUACAAUUCGUCGUGCCGAGACACCACGUGAUGAUCGGGUACGGUGUGAUAAGCUCUACAUUCACAUACAACGGGUGCAAGCCAGUUUUGCAUGUGCAGAAUACUCGGGUUAAACUUGACGAGCCUAGCAUAUGCAGAUAUGGCCUCGGAACACUGAGACCGAAAGGUCGAACGUGAAUCAUAUAGUAUAUAUGAUCAACAUAGUGAUGUUCAGCAUUGAAAGCUACUCGAUCUCACGUGAUGAUCGGACAUGGUUUAGUUGAUAUGGAUCACGUGAUCAUUUAGAUGCCACGAGGGAUGUCUAUCUAAGUGGGAGUUCUUAAGUAAUAUGAUUAAUUGAACUUAAAUUUAUCAUGAAAUUAGUCCUGAUAGUAUUUGCAUAUCUAUGUUGUAGAUCAAUAGCUCCCGUAUAGCUUCCCCGUUUUAUUUAUGAUAUGUUCGUAGAGAAAACAAAGUUGAAAGGUGAUAGUAGUAAUGAUGCGGACUAGGUCCGUGAUCUGAGCAUGGGCCAAGAAAAAUAGAGGAAAUUUCAUGGUGUGUUCCGCUUACAUAAUUAUAAUAAAAACUAAACUUAGCAUUGAGAGCUCGUUGGAAGAAACAGAAGGUGAAUCGAGCAUAAUAACAGAGGGACAAAGCUGGUUAUCUCUUUGGGGGCAUUCGUAUCCCGUCGAAGCUGAAAGUUUUUUUGUGGCGACUUGCGCAACACUCCAUCCCAACUGGAGAUGUUCUUCAUCACCAAAAUAUGGCUAUGGCAUCGGUUUGUUCACUGGGUGAAGCUGCCGAUUCUUGGAGACACGCGCUUAUUGAAUGUAACAUGUCCAGGUCCGUCUAGGUGCUAUCUCGGGAGUUGGUGGAGCAUAUGUGUGCUAAUAGGGAUCCUAGUGCCAAGAACUGGAUUUUCUCAGUGAUUGAAUCUUUGUCUCACGAGGAAUUAAUUCAUUUGGUGGUGACCAUAUGGGCUAUUUGGAGCGCCAUGAGGAAAGCAAUCCACCAGGACAUUUUUUAGAGUCCCUUAUCUUCUCACUGUUUUAUUUCCUCUUAUUUAGUUAAGCUACAGGUCCUCGAUAAGCCGAGGAGAGAGGUCUCAGGACAUCUUGGAUCAAACCAAGGGCGAGCAAACAUGCGAGCGGUCAAGGGAGAAAUCACUCUGUUUCAUUGGGCUGGCCCAUGCACCCGAGCGCUCAUACACUGCAGCGUGAACUAAUGCUAUAAGUGUUGACAUGGAGGGGACCUCCUAUUUGCUGCUCUCGACGGCAAACAGUCGGUCGAUCAUAUAGGACAACCCCCGAUUAGCGAGCUGACUACUAUGGUGCCCAAUUUUUUCCUAGUUUUUCAUGGGGGAGACUAGAAUGAGAUCAGCAUAUCUGGUGAGAUCUUGCGAUCCAGCUACAAGAUCCAUUGGAUUAGGAGCCGAUGGUACAGUUCGAGAAAGGUUGGAUGCGAUGGACAUAUUGCAUGAACCUCCUCGUCAAAUGGAAAUAUCGCAGGCAGAGUUGUAUCCCAAACCUAUCCUCUCUCUGCUGGACCAAAGCGUGCCGCCGGAGUGUAGCACGCCAGCACCUAUGGAUUUGUUAAUGGUUUUUGAUUCAUGGAGCCGUCAUCGAAGCUUAGGUCCACUGUUUCCUUCUUCCUUUUGUUAAACACUUUUCUAAUCUGAUGUUCUUCACCUAAUUCAAGAAUAUAUGUGAUGAAUCUCAAAUGAAAAUUCUUUCUUCCAGCCCACUGUUAGCACUGAAAGCUUUAAAUUUAACAUGUGUGGUGAUUCUAAACAUUUGCAUCCGUUGGUUUUGAGUACUUCAUCCGUCCCAUAAUAUAAGAACGUUUUUCAAGCUAUGUUAGUUUGAAAAACGUUCUUAUAUUAUGUGACAGAGGGAGUACUAUAUAACAUUUUCUCCAUUUUGAGGAAAUAUUUAUAAGAUAUUGUGUGCUCACAUCAGAAGUAUACACACAGAAAUGCAUGUGUCCACUAUAUUACAAUCUGCAUUAUACUUACAUCUACAGAAAAACAUCGUCUCUUCUUGGGUGUAAGAAUUCAUUACAAGGAAGUAUAGUGGAAUUAAUCUCUGAAAAAGAGUGACCAUCACUUAAUUCUGUCGCGGCAAGGCUACUGACCAAUUCUGUAAAAUAGAAAGAACAAGCAGAAUCACAAUUAUUGUAAGGAAGAACUUGAAAGAUUAGCAAUUUCGAUACUAAAUUCACUUGAGAUGGCUGGUGCACUACACGGAUUGGUCUGGCAUGCCAAGAAUGGCAAGGGCGAGUUCACGCUGGUUUCCUCCAUUUAGAAGCACAAUUGCCUUCUCUUCUCUGCUUUCCUAGAAAAAAUUUGAAUGGAGGCACAUAUCACAAACUAGAUGCAGUUUGAAGUUAGUGCAGGCUACUGUGCUAAAAUGAGUGCUUCUUAAAUUGAAGCAGCCCUAUACUUCAAUUUUUGAUUCAAAUAUGUACUGAAAAUUAGCAUCCACUAAAUGGAUUGCAUUACAAAUUGUAAGCACCACAAUCAAAUGGAAAUCUCUUGAUUAUAGUACAUAGUAGCAAGGACCAAAAUUAGAGCCGACUCAAUAAAAAAUUCAGUGCAAAUGCGUUCUAAUGUGGGAUGAUUUGGACAUACCGUACUGUUUUAUGUGUUGUAUGUACCCCAAUAUCACCACCAGAACAAGUAUGGAAUGGUGUUGUAUGACGGGGUACUCAUUGGGAAUAGACAAGGCGAUAUGUGGGGAAGCAAUUUCCUGGUUAGGGUUAAGAACUGACGCCGCUGGAGUUGAUGGGAGGGGACUUCGUGGUCCAGAGGUAAGGCCCGAAAUAUCUGGGUGGGGAAGGCCACCACCGCCGACGAGGGUAUUUGAUGGUGUGGAGUGUGGGUCGGGAAGUGUUGGCUGGCAGCAGGAGUGUGCAGGGCAAGGCCGUCGUCGUCGCUGCCGCCAAGAUUGGAUUCUAGAACGGGAAUACCUGGCUGGAUGGAACUAGUCCUUUCCAUGAAGGGGGUUGGUUUACUUAGAAGUACAAAAUGUACAUGGCCUAAAUGCAAAAAUGUAUUGUCAAAGAGGCUGGAAUCCCACCACACCAUAUCUGUACCAUCCUUCCAACAUCCAAGAUGGUGGAUCACACGAUCGUAGCUCAAGUACCGAUCCUAUACUAGUCGUGCCCGGUUUUUCAUUUGACUUUUGGGGAAAAGGAAAAGGAUAUUUAAAUUGCGCAAUUUUUCUAAAUAUUUGUAAACAUUUUUUAAAAAAUUAAACAUUAAAAAAACAUUUUUUUCAAAAGAGCGAACAUUUUAGAAAAUAAGAACAUCUAUUAAAAUUUGCAAACAUUUUUUGAAUAAGUGAGCACAUUUUUAGAAGGUGAAAUGGUUUAAAAAUGAGAUGAUUUUUCAAAUUUGCGAACAUUUUUCAACAUUUAAACUUUUUAAAAUGUGAAUCAUUUUUGUGAAAAACACAAACACUUUUUGAAAGAUGAACAAUUUUUAAAAUUAUUAAUGGUUUUUUAAAAAACAACUUUUCAUUAAAAUACAAAUAAAAAAUAAGAUAAAAGAAAAUAGAAGAUAGAAAAAUUAAAAAAAGUUGGUUUGGAGCCUUUUCCUUUUUUUGAGAAUCAUGAGCUUUAUUAAUCAACCGGCAGGAUUACACUCCUUCCGCACACAAGCCGCGAGGAAGGUAGGAGUAUAAUUAAUCCAUAAGCACCGCCUCCUGGAAACACUAGAUUGUUUACCGCAAAGAUGUGCUAGCUCAUUCGCUUCUCUAGCCAUAUAGAUCAAACAGAAUUCCUCAAAAUUCCCACAAAGCUCUCAAAUUUCAUUUAUCGUAGUAGUAUCUCCGAGCGAUCAACCCUUGGAGACUUCACUGAUCGACCACUAGUUUAGCAUCAGUUUCAAUGAUAACUAUUCUAUAACCCAACUCAUAAGCUAGCUGGACCCCAUCUCUCACUUCAUAAGAGUAUCUCCAACAGUUCAUCCCUCAGGAGGUAUAAAAAUCGCCCCCUGGGGGCUAGCCAGCGAUACAAUUGGCGCUGGGGGCGGUUGGGCGUCCAGUCAUCGCCCCCAGGUCGCCCCCAAGCGCCGAGGUUGCCUCAGUUUUUGGCCCACUUUCGGUGAAUAAAGGCCCCAUAUGGGCGAGAAUCGGCCCAUAUUCGGCGUGGUUCGUCGUGGCUUGGCGUUUAAUUGUGAACAUAAAUUUUUUUAUCACAUAGUUCAUCGUAGAUAAUCAAAUAGUUCAACAAAAUAGUGCAACAACAAAUAGUUCAAUACAAAUUAUAUAGUUCAACAAAUAAAAACUCAUAUUUCAUCACGUGUCGAGCCCGGCGUCGCCCUUGAGCCUUCAUAGGUGCUCCACCAGAUCCUGCUGCAGUUGAUGAUGCACCUGUGGGUCUCGGAUCUCCUGACGCAUACUGGGGUAGGCAGUCCAGCUUGCCGGUAGCUGGUGAUCAACUUUGGCUAGAGGACCCUGCCUAUAGUAUGGUUCAGUGUCAAACACUGGCUCUUCCUGCUCGCUCUCGAUGAUCAUGUUGUGCAAGAUGACACAGCAAGUCAUGAUCUCCCACAUUUGAUCUUUCGACCAGGUCUGAGCAGGAUAGCGGACAACAGCAAAUCGAGAUUGGAGCACACCAAAAGCCCGCUCGACAUCCUUCCUGCAAGCCUCCUGCACCUUGGCAAAGUGGGACUUCUUGCCUCCUGGCACAACGUUUGAGAUAGUCUUCACAAAUGUAGACCAUCUCGGAUCGAUGCCAUCAGCUAGGUAGUACCCUUUGUUAUUGUGCCACCCAUUGACCUGAAAGUUCACCGGAGGAGAAUGACCUUCAACAAGCUUGGCAAAGACAGGGGAGCACUGCAGCACGUUGAUGUCAUUGCGAGUUCCUGGCAUACCAAAGGAGUGCCAAAUCCAGAGGUCAUGUGUGGCCAUCGCGUACCACACUGCAACCGCCUUUGGCGCCUUUGUACAUCCCCUGCCAAGCAAAUGGGCAGUUCUUCCAUUUCCAAUGCAUGUAGUCGAUGCUUCCAAGCAUCCCAGGAAAUCCUCUUGCUGCAUUCUGUGCUAGGAUCCAAGCAGUGUCUUCCGCAAUGGCUGUUCGCAAGUAUUGUGGUCCAAACACUGCCACCACCGCCCGACAGAACUUGUAGAAACACUCAAUGCUGGUGGACUCGGCCAUGCGCCCAUAGUCGUUGAGUGAAUCACCGGGAGCUCCGUAUGCAAGCAUCCUCAUCGCUGCCGUGCACUUCUGGAUCGAGGUGAAUCCAAGUUUGCCGGUGCAAUCUUUCUUGCACUUGAAGUAGCUGUCGAACUCCCGGAUGGAAUUCACAAUCCUGAGGAAAAGCUUUCGGCUCAUCCGAUAACGGUGCCGAAAUGUUUUGUCGCCGUGCAGUGGAGCGUCGGCAAAGUAGUCGGAGUAGAGCAUGCAGUAGCCUUCGAGACGAUGCCGAUUCUUUGCUUUCUCCCGCCCCGGCGCCGAGCCACCUCGCCGCAGCUUUUCAUUGCUCGCCAGCAGCUGGGCAAGGGCGGCAAGCACCAUGAGAUGCUCUUCCUCCUGGACGUCGGCCUCGGCUUCCUCCUUCAGCAGCGCGGUGAGCACUUCCUCGUCAUCCGAGUCCAUCUCGCCGAGGGAGGCAAAUCGCCGAACACCUUGCGCGCUAGUGGGCGUGUACCCGCCGCUAAACUUCCCCUCCACGUCCGGAAACGGCGGCCGGAAACGCCCAGCUGCUGGUGGAGGGGCUGCCUCGGCGAACAUCUGCUAUUUUUCCGACGGGGAUUGGCUACCUAGCGGUGAAGGGCGGCUAUCGGCGCCGGGAUACAGCUAGUAGUGGCCGAGGGCGCGGGGGGUGGGAGGCGAGACGGGGAAGAAAGACUUGACUUUUCACCUGACGGGGUGGGACAACCACGCUUUUCCGUUGCGCCAGAGCCCUCGAUCACCCCGAAGUGCGCCGGGUUCGGCCUGCGAGCGCCGGGCCCAAAAACGGGUCGAACCGGCGCUUUUCGACGUUCUGGAGGUGCGACUGGGGCUUUUUUUUGGCGUCGGCGCCGAAAAAUUGGCCUGGAGGGCCUGUUGGGGGCGCGGCUGGAGAUGUUCUAAGCCUCCAUCACCAUUGCUGAUAAUCCAGACUCAUACCACAGAGCUUGAGCGCGAAUUAGAGUACCCUCAUGGUUCCGUACUCCUAGCCCAGUACCUCCCUGACGAGUCUCCUCCAGAAAAGUGGCAUCAACAUUAAUCUUUAUGAAAGGAUCUUCAGGUGGCUGCCAUCUUUGCAUAUGUUUUAUUGGUCUAAGUAUUUGUUGUUUACCGGUCUGUGAUAGGUCCACUGCUAUGUCUGUAGCCCAUUUCACAGAUUGUUGAAUGGUUCUAGUCGUCUUCCCAUACACGCGCGCAUUUAUCCCAGUCCAGAUUGCCCAAACACCACAUAAGAUGACACACGCAUCGGCUUGUUUUACUGCCAUUUCGUCAAGCAUAUCCAUCGCCCAAGAGUCUGGACGUAGGUUUGGUAUUUUGAUGCCUGUGACUAGUUUCACCUCUUGCCAGAAAAGCUUCGCCCAAGUGCAAUCAAACAAUGUGUGCCAUUUAGUUUCUUCCUGACCACAGGCCUCACAGAACCCAAUCUCCUCCAUAUGUCUUGCACACAAGACUAAUCUAGUUGGUAUAAAUCCUUUAAUAACUCUCCACCAAAAACUCCGGACUUUGGGGGGUAUAGGAAGGCGCCAAAGCUUCUUCCAGAACAUCAAUAAGAUUUAAAUAAAAUACAUAUGGACUAGUCUAUUUUGGUUUGCUCGUGUCAAUCCCCCUGUGCGAAGAAGCUGACCGUUUGCCGCAUGCAGCCAAUAAGAUUUAACGACGAGGAGCUCUCAAACUGGGAAAUUCCGACUAGGUGAACUUAAUCCCGUAGUGAGGCGCCAUGGGCCAGCCCCAUCUGAGGUUUUCUACGUGGCAUGCGCCUGUUUGGUUCAUCACUUUUUUCUUUCGUUUUUUUUCAUUUUGUGGUUUGGUUUUCGGUUUUGAUUUUUAUUUUUAUUUUUUAUGUUUUAUUUUAUUUCUUUUUUCCUUUUUAGUUUUUUGGUUUUUUCUCUAGGUUUUAUUUUUUAUUUUUCUGUUUUUAAUUGAUAUGUAAUGAACAUUUUUAAAAGAAACUGAAUUAUUUUUAAUACACACUGAACAUUUUUAUUUGCACAUAGUCAAUUUUUCUAAUGUAUGGUGAACAUUUUAUAGACAAGCUGAACUUUAUUUAAUGUACAAUGAUUUUUAAACUAUAUUUUAAACAUUUGUUAGCACACACUAAACUUUUUUUUAUAAUAAACAUACCGAAUAUUGAAAAAUGAAAGAAAAAACAAAGCAAAAAAUAUUCAACAACCAGUUUAAAAUACAAAAAAAUCGUUUUUUUUAAACAAAAACCAGUUUUUCAGGAAAAGAUAAAAACACAAAAGAAAUCGCUAAAGUGGAGCUCGUGUGAAUUACGUAUACCGCUGCAUUAUUUGACGCGAAUGGACAUCGAACAGGUGGUCACCUCCCUAGGGAGUAGGAACAACUGGAUGGACUAACCCACAGGCACCUAUCAUGGGGAAGUCGCAUUGGACCCCGCAUAUUGACCGCACCUGCGAGAACAUGGUUUCUUCAUGGCGGAUGCUACGCGUCAUCCGGCUGAUACGCGCGAGUAAUCAGCCGGUUCGCUAGCCACCCGAUCCGUUCAUCAGCAUGCGUCUCCAGCCAUACGAUCCGCGUCGAGUAACUCAGGUCUGCUCGGUCUUUUUUUCCUUCACGUGGGUGUGCUCAGCCAUGGGGCACUGCUUUCCAUGCAUCAACGGGGUUGAGGCCAUCGAGACUAUUUUAAGGGAAAACACUUAAAAGCAGUCGGAUAAUUUUUUGGUUUGUCAGCCGUGUCGGGCGCCGUCUGAUCGGACGCGAUCGUGUGGCGCUGAGCGUCUAUCUGUCCAUGACGCGAGUUAGCCUCCCCAGUUAUCGUAGCCUUUUUUUACGGGUAUAACCCACCUACCGUAGUUGCGUAGCGUCUAGCCUGCUCGCCUAAAGGUACGUGGUACUGUUCCUUUUUUUUACUUUUACACCACACGUAGUGCUUUGCCACAUAGGAAUAGCUACAUAUAUAUGAUGCUACAAAUAAUCUCAAAAUGAUAUGUUCAAAAAGAAAAAGAAAUCUGGGAUGAAGCACAUAGCAAGCACCAGCAAGGAUUCCAACACUAUUAACGUUGGUCAUGGAUGUUUGUUGGAUUUGGUACUAGCAAUCCCAUGGAUCCAUAGUUGCUUUGGAUAUAGCAAUGUUUAGGGUGCCUUCCUUGAGGCCACGGCCGUUGAAGCAUCCCAUCAAGGCAUGACAGCAUCCGCCGAGUAGCCGGGUUGCCAUUGUAACAUCGUCGAAGCAGCCGAGCAGUCAUCCUCACAGCACCGCCACGGCUGAGAAGCAUGGCGUCGCAACAUCGUCGAAGCACUCAGGCCUCCACCGUAGCAUCGCCGUAGUCGUUGAAGCACGCCAUCGCAACAUCAUCGUCACCGUUUGAAGCAUGCCACUGUCGCGGUUGGUCACAUCAUCGCCGCGGUUGUCAAAGCACCCAUCGUGGCUGUCGAUGCACAAUGUCGCAACAUCAUCGAAGCAGACGGGUUUCCAUCGUAGCAUCGUCGUGGCCGUUGAAUCACCCGUCGCGACCGUCGAAGCCCGCAAUCACAGCAUCAUUGAAGUAGCCAGGUUGCCGUCAAAGCAAACUGCGACCACCAAAACAUGUCGUCGCAACAACAUCGAAGUAGUCGGGCUGCUGUCGCAGUAUCUCCGCGGCCACCGAAGCACGCCGCCAUCGUGCCACAGCCGCGGCCGUCGAAGCACGCAAUUGCAACAUCAUUGAAGUAACCAGGUUGCCGUCAAAGCACACUGCAAUCGCCAAAAGCAUGCCACCGCAACAGCAUCGAAGUAGUCAGGCUGCCAUCGCAGCAUCGCCCGUGGCCACCGAAGCACACCAACGUCGUGCCACCGCCGCAACCAUCAAAGCACGCAAUCGCAACAUCAUUGAAGUAGCCAGGCUGCCGUCAANNNNNNNNNNNNNNNNNNNNNNNNNNNNNNNNNNNNNNNNNNNNNNNNNNNNNNNNNNNNNNNNNNNNNNNNNNNNNNNNNNNNNNNNNNNNNNNNNNNNNNNNNNNNNNNNNNNNNNNNNNNNNNNNNNNNNNNNNNNNNNNNNNNNNNNNNNNNNNNNNNNNNNNNNNNNNNNNNNNNNNNNNNNNNNNNNNNNNNNNNNNNNNNNNNNNNNNNNNNNNNNNNNNNNNNNNNNNNNNNNNNNNNNNNNNNNNNNNNNNNNNNNNNNNNNNNNNNNNNNNNNNNNNNNNNNNNNNNNNNNNNNNNNNNNNNNNNNNNNNNNNNNNNNNNNNNNNNNNNNNNNNNNNNNNNNNNNNNNNNNNNNNNNNNNNNNNNNNNNNNNNNNNNNNNNNNNNNNNNNNNNNNNNNNNNNNNNNNCGGUCUGCCGCAGCACGAUUUGAAGCAGUGGAGUCACUGUCACUUUUGAUGUGACUGCAGUUCAAAUCGUGCUGCGGCAGACCGCUUCAACGAUGUUGCGACGACAUGCCUCAAGGAAGGCACCCUAAACAUUGCUAUAUCCAAAGCAACUAUGGAUCCAUGGGAUUGCUAGUAUCAAAUCCAACAAACAUCCAUGACCAACGUUAAUAGUGUUGGAAUCCUUGCUGGUGCUUGCUAUGUGCUUCGUCCCAGAUUUCUUUUUCUUUUUGAACAUAUCAUUUUGAGAUUAUUUGUAGCAUCAUAUAUAUAUGUAGCUAUUCCUAUGUGGCAAAGCACUACGUGUGGUGUAAAAGUAAAAAAAGGAACAGUACCACGUACCAUUAGGCGAGCAGGCUAGACGCUACGCAACUACGGUAGGUGGGCUAUACCCGUAAAAAAGGCUACGAUAACUGGGGAGGCUAACUCACGUCAUGGACAGAUAGGCGCUCAGCGCCACACGAUCGCGUCCGAUCAGACGGCGCCCGACACGGCUGACAAACCAAAAAAACAUCCGACUGCUUUUAAGUGUUUUCCUUUUUUCAUGCACAUGUUUUGGGUUUUCGAAAUUCGCUUGGUUUUUCCUAGGUUCUCUCGAUUUUUUCUCCGCUUAAGCACACCAUGCGAAAGCACAGUUUCUGCUUCCGUGUGAAGCACAGCCCCUGCUUCUUAAAAAAGUGAAAAUCACAGAUAUGCUAUAGUGUGAAGCAUAGAUUGUGCUUCUCAAAAAGUGAAGCACAAAUAUCGUGCUUUCAUUUUUUUGUUUUCGAUUUACUUUUUCGGUUUAUGGUUUUUCUAGUUUUUGAUUUUUUUUCAAUUUUCUUUUCUUUUUCAGGAAAGAAAUUCGUCUACAUCUAUUAACUUGAGAUCAAGUUUCGAACAUCUUAAUGUGAGAAAUACAACAAUGAAAACAAUUUAUAAUUUGGAAGCAUGGUUUGAAGAUAAAAUAUUGUAAAAAAGGAAUUGACGAAAAAACACAAAACUCCCAUGUUGUGACACAUGCAUUGCGCCACGUGUCGGCACAAGAAAAGAUGGAAUUGACCUAGAAAAAGAUAGCCCUUAACUAGUGAUUUCCAAUUACUCGCCUGCUGUCCUCCCCAAUAAAGAUUAAGCUUCCUCUACCUCCUCUCGGCGUUGUCGUUGGUCCGCCUCGUCUUUGGUGGCCUUACGACCAUGGGGCACAGUGGAUCCCGACCCUGUCGGCGGGAGGGCUCCAUUUUUAGAUAUUUCUUCGAGUUUUGUUAGGGUUUGUGUCCUGCUAAGGAAGGCGGGACGAUGGUGGUUCUUGAAGAUAGAAUAAGGUUCUUCCCGUUUAGCCCCUCGUCCCGAUGAUGCUCUAACAUCGUCACUGUGCGUAUGGAGACGUGUCUCCGGCGGAUCUGUCUUUGAUGGGUUUGCUCGGAUCUGGUCGUCAUUCGUAUAAGUUCAUGGGUCUUCAGGUUGGAUUUUUCCGGUCUGCGCUACUCAUCAUCGGCGACGGUUACUGUUCGGUGUGCUGGUCCUCUAGGGCCAUAACACGACGAUUUCCUGACUGUCUAGUAUAACAAGUUAGCCUAGCUCCGGCGAGGAAGGGGCGAUGAUUAUGACGCGUCUUCGACUUGCUUCUGUGCUGGUAGUCAUAACUAGGUGGUCUAUGGAUCUGAAUCUUGCCUCCGUGCUUGUAGUCGUCACUAGGUGGUCAACGAAUUUGAAUGUAACUUCUAUUCUUUUUGAUGUUCGUUAUACUGUCAUGAUUAAAAAAAUAUAGAUAAAAGGUUUUCUGGUAAAAAGUAAAAACUAAUGAUUUCUAGGAACAGAACAAGGGACAAUCAAUAGAUCUACUCAACUGGACCAUCUAAAAUGGGGCCGCUAAACCAGUAGAUAGACAUAGAAAAACACCAGCUAAUAGACUACACAACAGUCAAACUCAGAUUAGGCUGAGAAAGAGUUAAACUCAAUUCUUGCUUUACUUUUUUCCAAGUGUUACUCUAUAUCAGCACUGACCGAGCAAAGUCCACCGUCGGCAUAAAGUGCACACGCAUUGUAUGCAACGCACAAGACUAAUUGGAAGGUGCACACAUCACUCCAAUGAUGGAUUAACUUUCUUCAGUUCUUUAAAUUCGGACUUAAUAUUUCAAGCCCCUAUAUACUUUUUCAGGGAUCAAACUUCGUGGAACCGACCAUGUGGGUUGUGGCAAUCUAAACUCCGAUUGUCUUGUGUAGAUCGUUUGUAACAUCCUCUCUUCUUCUGACUAAAAGGCAUCGCCCCUGUCAGUUUCUUAAACAAAAACUGUGAUCAUCCAAAGAACUAACUCAAUGGUUGGAAUUUUAGAUUUUUUUUCUCGAUAAAGAGCAUUUUUAUUGACUUAAAAUAUAGCAUCAAAUGGAUACAAAACAGGGUGAGCAACACCCGUCCUAUACAUAACUAAGAUGCACAUAGUCAAACAAAAACAAACUAAAAAAAGAUUAAAAAAA
This 25509-nucleotide long non-coding RNA is filed under the name Triticum aestivum (bread wheat). Its description in RNAcentral is "long non-coding RNA (TAES_LNC020717)". The record is from RNAcentral. Lineage: Eukaryota; Viridiplantae; Streptophyta; Magnoliopsida; Poales; Poaceae.